AUGGCCGCGAGCUCAGGCGACGAGUCCCGGAGGCCCAAUCCCCUCCCCUCGGGGCUCGUGUCCAAUCUGCAGUCCGUCCUCGCCUCCCGCCGCCCGCCUUCGCCCGAGGACGCCGGCUCCACCGCGGCCGAGGCCGAGGCCCCGACAGCGGAGACGGCGGCCGAUGACGCGCCGGCUAAGCCUGUCGUACUUCUGACCUGCGCCGGCGGGAUCCAGUCGCCGGGUCUCGUGGCGCUCGUCGACGCCCUCGUCAAGGGCGGCCGAUGCGACGUCCACGUGUGCGCCCCUGAAUCGGACAAGCCUGUCUGUGGUCACUCCAUUACCAUCCGGGAGACUGUGUCUGCGACAUCCGUCCAUUUUACAGGGGCGAAGGCUUUUGAGAUAUCAGGGACGCCUGUGGAUUCUAUCUCAUUGGCAUUAUCUGGGAGGCUAUUUUCUUGGUCGGCACCUGCUUUGGUGAUCAGUGGUAUCAAUACUGGGUCAAACUGCGGCUAUGAGAUGUUCCACUCUUCUGCCAUUGCUGCUGCAAGAGAGGCUUUAAUGUGUGGGGUACCUUCAAUUGCAAUCUCAUUGAAUUGGAAGAAGGAUGAAACCAAAGACAAUGACUUCAAGGAUGCAGCUGGGCUGUGUUUGCCACUGAUACAUGCUGCCUUGGCAGAUAUUGAGAAGGGAACUUUCCUCAAAGGGUGCCUGCUGAAUGUUGGGGUUCCAAGCUCGCCAGCUGCAAAUAAGGGUUUCAAGUUGACCAAGCAAAGCAUAUACAGUCCUGCUCAAAGCUGGCAAGCUGUGUCGACAAGUAGGCCUCAACCUGCUGCUCACUUCAUGGGCAUGCAUCAAAGCCUCGGUAUUCAGCUCGCACAGCUUGGGAAGGAUGCUUCUGCAGCAGGAGCUGCACGCAGAGGUAAUACUCAGCGGAAGACAGUUGAGGUCGAGUCUGUUGCAGCUGCAGGGAAGCAACAAGCUAGAGAAGUAGUGAAGAAAUCUUUCCGUGCCGAGUUCCUCGAGAAGCUGCACAAAGAUUUGGAUGACGAUAUCGAUGUGAGAGCCUUGGAAAAUGGAUUUAUAUCUGUCACUCCUCUGAAUGUGCACGGCCAUGUCGAGUCUGAACUCGAAGCUCCAGCGUCAGACUGGCUGUCAGCAGCUGUGUCUGUAUCCGAAGAAAAGGAAGCUCCAGCGACCUAA
Molecule: ribosomal RNA, 1182 nt
Filed under: Triticum aestivum (bread wheat)
Lineage: Eukaryota; Viridiplantae; Streptophyta; Magnoliopsida; Poales; Poaceae
Description: partial small subunit ribosomal RNA
Source: RNAcentral